Molecule: long non-coding RNA, 2747 nt
Organism: Equus caballus (horse)
Lineage: Eukaryota; Metazoa; Chordata; Mammalia; Perissodactyla; Equidae
Source: Ensembl
AACCACUUAACGUAUUUUCUAUUUUACUUAUUUACAUCGUUUGCAGUCUGUGGACCCUGCCCUACUCCUGAAUGUAUACGUUCCACCAAGAUGGCAAUUUCUGUCUAUUUUUUCCCCACCGUUAUAUUCUCAGUGCCUCAGUCUCAAUGUGUUUGUUGAGUGAAUGAAUAAACAAAUGAAUGCUAACUCUUGUUACCCAGGCAGAGGAAUUCCUUAAGCUCACUCGUAUCUCAGAAAGGUGAGACAGAGAGGAAAGGUUUCUAUCAUUUUUAACUCAUUGUUAUGGAAAUGACAACACACGGUUCAGGAGCCAAUGUGAUGUGUCCACGUAACAGCUUCUCACUAGUGUGGCUUGUUUUGGGGGCAAAUCAUAAAUUCUCAGAGCAGCAUUCUUCAAAGCCUUUUGACUUGACUCACAUUUAAAAACACAUUUCCCAUUCUGCCUCAGUACACGCAUACACACAUACAUAAUGGAAACAAAGGUUUCACAAAACAGUACUUAUCCUUAUGACAUGCUCUCAAGGUUUCCCGUCCCAUUUCAUUCUGCUAUAUUUCACUGUUUAAAAACUGGAUAAGACCCCCUGCUAGGUCCUGGAGAAAUCGUGCAGGCAGGCACCCAUCCUCGCUGUUGUCAAGCAUCUCCCGGGUUUGGAUUGCCAUGGGUUCGACACUGUUGUUCCGGGUGUGUAUGGUGAGGGCAUCUUCGGUGCUGCCUGGAGAAGGGAACCAUCCGCCUUAGCAGAUAAGAGGGCUGGGGGCAGAGCUGCAUCUUCUCGUGAAACUGAGGCGCCUGAGAGGGACUGUGCCUGGACCAAGAACUGCCGUCCUCCUCCUGCCACUGAGCCAGGAUAUGCCGGGCCAUUCUCAUCUUCUUCUUCAUCUUCAUUCUCAUCUUCGUUAGCUGGUCUGAGUGUUCACCGAGUUCAAAGACUCUACAGCAUCCCCAUAACGGGUACAAGUGACCUUUAAUCCUGGUCCUGUCUCAGAUGUCUAAAUGGUCCCUGACUCACAGGCAUUUGGUGCUUGAAUUUCUGAUUGUCAAGUGUUUUUAAAAAUCACUAAAACAUGAGCCACCUCACAUGGUUCCAAAUGGCAUGACUCGUGAAGCUAAUGAAAAAUUAUGGCAAAGCACUUUUCCUACAGCGCAAGCUACUCAUUGGGCCCAGAAAAGGCAAUGUUGAUGAAGUGCCAUUAAAUUACGGCCUGAGAUGCCACCUGCGGGCAAAUCUGGGUCUAAUUUGCCUUUUUGCAAGUCGUUUUCUAUUUCUUUGAACGUGAAAUGAAUCCCGAGGACGGUAGAUGAUAAAGAUGCUGCCCCUUCAAAACUGAUUUGAUUUUAAACGUAUUUGUCUUUCUUUUUUUUUUAAGCAUGUGGUUCAAGAGGAAUGAUAAUAAUAAAAAAAUCUCUUCCUAAGUUUCAGCUCAGCAGUACCUCCAUAUGGGGAAAAUGCCCCCGACACACACCUUACUCCCGUGCUGCCCUGUCCCCACCACACAGCCUGGGGGGUGAGAAGCUGGGCUGGGGAUGGAAGGCAGGUAGGUGCUGGACCACAGAGAGUUCAGGGAGAAAGCAGGAGUAAGCGAGUCAUCUGGAGGGUUCUUUCUGGCUCUCCUCUCCCUUGGCCCGUUUCCCUCACCUUCCCUGUGGGCCGUGCCCGUUUGCUCUGAUUUCUUUCUUAUGGUCGGAAGCCCCCAUCUCUCUCCCCUGUUGUUUCCAUUUAAACCUUCCUGCCUGGUGUCUCACUCCUGGAGGAUAAUUGUUAAGUUUAGUGGAUUUCUCUGCAAAGGUAACACUUUUUGUCACCAUGAGGAAACAAAGGCCAGCUCCACAGUGUGGGAAAUUCUACAGGGCAAAUGACCGGCUUUUUCCACCGCAUGAGUAGCAUGGGGACGAGGGGAGGAGCUGUUAUAAAGAAAAGAGACCAGAGACGUACUAAUCAGAGUCAACUUCGUCUCAAAGGAGCGGCAAGAGCAUAAAGAAUCCCGGACUGUCAGUCAUGCAGCUUCAACCUUUAUCAAUAUUUUGCAUUAAGCAUUUCUUUCCACACUAAGGGUCAAACUGACCUGCUGUGCCAGCAAACGUCUCCCGACUGUGGUAAACGAGCUAUCCCUGUUGUAUGAUACAUGUUCCUUGUUCCAAGACAGUACAUAACCACGCAUCCACGUGGCUUCUUCCGAGUCCUCCUUCUUGGGGGAGGUGCUCUCCCGGGCUCUCUAAUCCACAGACUGACUUGUAUAAGGAACUCAUCUCAAUUUUGAUUUAUAGAUUGAUUAUUGAUUAUUCGUGUCGACAGUUUGUUUCAUGGAGAAUUCCAAAACAGAUCCAAGAGUUCACAGUAUUUCACCCAUAACUACUUCAACACGCACCUCUUGCAGAAAGACUCUUCGGCAAGAAGCGUUCAGCCUUCAGAGCGGGGCUCCCCGGGAAGCACCCCUACGAGUCUGUGGCCAACCGUGCAUCUAUGUACACUCUGCACCACGAAACUGUGUUUUAACUUCAUUUCUGACUCAAACACGUCCCUCUUCUUGCUGUCACUUUUUCUUUCUCAUCUACUUCAAAUCUGUGUUACCUCAUUUUAUUGGUAUGUCCCUGUAAGCAGAGGUGUGCUGGUGAAUAUUUCACACUAAUUCUCUGGGGAAAAAAAGUAUAUAUAUAUAUGCAAAUUAAUUAUAAAUGUUGCUGCUAUAAAUGUAUAACCCACAAUAAGCAAAUAAUAGUAAAAUACACAAUACUCUUUAUUGUAAAU